AUUAACGCUAGCGGCAGGCAUAAUCCAUGCAAGUUGCACGGCAGCACAGGUAGCAAUACUGGGUGGCGAGUGGCGCACGGGUGCGUAACACGUAUGCAACCUACCCUAUACAGGCGAAUAACCUUUAGAAAUGAGGGCUAAUACGCCGUAGUAUUACAGAUGGGCAUCUAUUUGUAAUUAAAGAUUUAUCGGUAUAGGAUGGGCAUGCAUCCCAUUAGUUAGUUGGUAAGGUAACGGCUUACCAAGACGAUGAUGGGUAGGGGAUCUGAGAGGACUUACCCCCACACUGGUACUGAGACACGGACCAGACUCCUACGGGAGGCAGCAGUAAGGAAUAUUGGGCAAUGGCCGCGAGGCUGACCCAGCCAUGCCGCGUGCAGGAAGACGGCCUUAUGGGUUGUAAACUGCUUUUAUACGGGAAUAAUAGAGUGUACGCGUACAUUUAUGCAAGUAUCGUAUGAAUAAGCAUCGGCUAACUCCGUG
Molecule: ribosomal RNA, 483 nt
Filed under: uncultured bacterium
Lineage: Bacteria
Description: partial 16S ribosomal RNA
Rfam family: Bacterial small subunit ribosomal RNA
Source: RNAcentral